Molecule: ribosomal RNA, 473 nt
Filed under: uncultured bacterium
Lineage: Bacteria
Description: SSU rRNA
Rfam family: Bacterial small subunit ribosomal RNA
Source: RNAcentral
AGGAUAAACGCUGGCGGCGUGCCUAACACAUGCAAGUCGAACGCGCUUUCGGGCUUCGGUGCGAGAGCGAGUGGCGGACGGGUGAGUAACACAUGGGUACCUACCUUGGAGUGAGGGAUACCGGCGAGAAAUCGCCGACAAUACCGCAUAGGCUUCUUCACAAGGGAAGCAAAGUGACGCGAGUCACGCUUUGAGAUGGGCCUGUGGCCGAUUAGCUAGUUGGGGGGGUAACGGCUUCCCAAGGCGACGAUCGGUAGCUGGUCUGAGAGGACGAUCAGCCACACUGGGAUUGAGAACGGCCCAGACUCCUACGGGGGCAGCAGUGAGGAAUUUUCCGCAAUGGAGGCAACUCUGACGGAGCAACGCCGCGUGCAGGAGGAAGGUUUUCGGAUCGUAAACUGCUUUUCGUCGGGGACGAGCGAAGGACGGUACCCGAGGAAGAACGCCCCGGCUAACUACGUGCCAGCAGCCGC